AGCACUGUAGGUGCCAGCCGCCGCGGUAAUACAGAGGGUGCAAGCGUUAAUCGGAAUUACUGGGCGUAAAGCGCGCGUAGGUGGUUCGUUAAGUUGGAUGUGAAAGCCCCGGGCUCAACCUGGGAACUGCAUUCAAAACUGUCGAGCUAGAGUAUGGUAGAGGGUGGUGGAAUUUCCUGUGUAGCGGUGAAAUGCGUAGAUAUAGGAAGGAACACCAGUGGCGAAGCGACCACCUGGACUGAUACUGACACUGAGGUGACGAAAGCGUGGGGAGACAAACGAGGAUUAGACUACCCUGGUAGUCCACGACCGUAAACGAUGUACAACUAGCCGUUGGGAGCCUUGAGCUCUUAGUGGCGCAGCUAACGCAUUAAGUU
Molecule: ribosomal RNA, 377 nt
Filed under: uncultured bacterium
Lineage: Bacteria
Description: bacterial SSU rRNA
Rfam family: Bacterial small subunit ribosomal RNA
Source: RNAcentral